UACAGAGGUCUCAAGCGUUGUUCGGAUUCAUUGGGCGUAAAGGGUGCGUAGGCGGCGCGGUAAGUCGGGUGUGAAAUCUCGGAGCUUAACUCCGAAACUGCAUUCGAUACUGCUUUGCUUGAGUACUGGAGAGGAGAUUGGAAUUUACGGUGUAGCAGUGAAAUGCGUAGAUAUCGUAAGGAAGACCGGUGGCGAAGGCGGAUCUCUGGACAGUUACUGACACUGAGGCACGAAGGCCAGGGGAGCAAACGGG
This 253-nucleotide ribosomal RNA is filed under the name uncultured bacterium. RNAcentral describes it as "partial 16S ribosomal RNA". It matches the Rfam family "Bacterial small subunit ribosomal RNA", at positions 524 to 776 of the family's 1533-position model. The record is from RNAcentral.